This 848-nucleotide ribosomal RNA is filed under the name uncultured organism. RNAcentral describes it as "bacterial SSU rRNA". It matches the Rfam family "Bacterial small subunit ribosomal RNA", at positions 415 to 1288 of the family's 1533-position model. The record is from RNAcentral.
CCUUCGUGUUGUAAAAUACCCUUUCCCGGGGAAGAAGGAAGAACGGUUCUCCUCUAAAUUAAGCGUCGGGCAACUUACGUUAAAACAGAGGUGGUAAGAUUUUUUUACGCAAGCUUUUUCCGGAUUUACUGGGGGGAAAGACAUCUAUAUACGGUGGGUUAAAUUGGGGGUGAAAACUCCGUGUUCAAUCAGAAGAGAUUUUUUAUUUUUGCCGAACUAGAGGGCAUCGUAGGGCAUGGAGUUUUCGUGUAUAGGUAAAAAUCGCAGAUAUCGGAAGGAGCACCAAUCGCGAAGUUGUUGCUGUGGGGUGUGCCUGACGCUGAGAGACGAAAGCUAGGGGAGCGAACAGGAUUCGAGUCCCUGGUAGUCCUAGCCCUAAACGAUGGAUGCUAGAUGUGGGGCCGAGAAGGCUUCGUGUCGCAGUUAACGCGCUAAGCAUCCCGCCUGGGGAUUACGGCCGCAAGGCUAAAACUCAAACGAAUUGACGGGGCCCCGCACAAGCAGCGGAGCGUGUGGUUUAAUUCGAUGCUACACGAAGAACCUUACCUGGGUUUGACAUGUAAGUGGUAGUGAAGCGAAAGCGGAGCGUCCCUUCGGGGAGCUUACACAGGUGUCUGCAUGGCUGUCGUCAGCUCGUGCCGUGAGGUGUCGGGUUAAGUCCCGUAACGAGCGCAACCCUUGCCCUUAGUUACAAGUGUCUAAGGGGACUCCCGGCGGUAAUCCGGAAGAAGGUGGGGAUGACGUCAAGUCAGCAUGGCCCUUAUAUCCAGGGCUACACACACGCUUCAAUGGUCAGUACAAAAGGCAGCGAAGCCGCGAGGUGAAGCGAUUCCCACCAAAGCUGAUCU